GAACUUCUUCUGAAGGCAUGGUCAGAGGACAGUUGCAUUCAAAAGGAAUUUGUGGAGACUGAGCAGGAAAUUCUGAGGGCAAUGGCAAAUUUAAUAGCAAAAGUUCAGUACAGAGAGCAAAAGGUUGACAGUAUUAGCAACAGGCUUCAAAGUAACUUGGAUGGUCUGGAUUCUUUACUAGAAAGUCAAUCUGCCAUGAAUCCCUGAUACUUCCAGAAGAUAUCAGAAUGCACAAGGUAUGUAUUAGCUUAAUAUCCCUGGUAUGCGCAACCAGG
Gavialis gangeticus (Gharial) is the source of this 275-nucleotide long non-coding RNA. RefSeq lists it as uncharacterized. The transcript has 3 exons. The record is from RefSeq and is a predicted model, not a curated record. NCBI's taxonomy places the organism in Eukaryota, Metazoa, Chordata, Crocodylia, Gavialidae.